GUAGAGCACUCCUACGGGAGGCAGCAGUGGGGAAUAUUGCACAAUGGGCGCAAGCCUGAUGCAGCCAUGCCGCGUGUAUGAAGAAGGCCUUCGGGUUGUAAAGUACUUUCAGCAGUGAGGAAGGUGGGUAUGUUAAUAGCAUAUUCAUUUGACGUUAGCUGCAGAAGAAGCACCGGCUAACUCCGUGCCAGCAGCCGCGGUAAUACGGAGGGUGCGAGCGUUAAUCGGAAUUACUGGGCGUAAAGCGCAUGCAGGUGGUUUGUUAAGUCAGAUGUGAAAGCCCGGGGCUCAACCUCGGAAUUGCAUUUGAAACUGGCAAACUAGAGUACUGUAGAGGGGGUAGAAUUUCAGGUGUAGCGGUGAAAUGCGUAGAGAUCUGAAGGAAUACCGGUGACGAAGGCGGCCCCCUGGACAGAUACUGACACUCAGAUGCGAAAGCGUGGGGAGCAAACAGGAUUAGAUACCCUGGUAG
RNAcentral lists this ribosomal RNA (472 nucleotides) under uncultured bacterium. RNAcentral describes it as "bacterial SSU rRNA". It matches the Rfam family "Bacterial small subunit ribosomal RNA", at positions 328 to 793 of the family's 1533-position model. The record is from RNAcentral.